GACGAACGCUGGCGGCGUGCUUAACACAUGCCAGUCGAACGGAAAGGCCCUGCUUUUGUGGGGUGCUCGAGUGGCGAACGGGUGAGUAACACGUGAGUAACCUGCCCUUGACUUUGGGAUAACUUCAGGAAACUGGGGCUAAUACCGGAUAGGAGCUCCUGCUGCAUGGUGGGGGUUGGAAAGUUUCGGCGGUUGGGGAUGGACUCGCGGCUUAUCAGCUUGUUGGUGGGGUAGUGGCUUACCAAGGCUUUGACGGGUAGCCGGCCUGAGAGGGUGACCGGCCACAUUGGGACUGGGAUACGGCCCAGACUCCUACGGGGGGCAGCGGUGGAGAAUAUUGCACAAUGGGCGGAAGCCGGAUGCAGCAACGCCGCGUGCGGGAUGACGGCCUUCGGGUUGUAAACCGAUUUCGCCUGUGACGAAGCGUGAUGGACGGUAAUGGGUAAAGAAGCACCGGCUAACUAGGU
RNAcentral lists this ribosomal RNA (467 nucleotides) under uncultured bacterium. RNAcentral's name for it is "partial 16S ribosomal RNA". It matches the Rfam family "Bacterial small subunit ribosomal RNA", at positions 28 to 506 of the family's 1533-position model. The record is from RNAcentral.